UGAGAAGGAGAAGAAGAAGA
Molecule: microRNA, 20 nt
Filed under: Corchorus olitorius
Lineage: Eukaryota; Viridiplantae; Streptophyta; Magnoliopsida; Malvales; Malvaceae
Description: ath-miR50
Source: RNAcentral